RNAcentral lists this ribosomal RNA (473 nucleotides) under uncultured Actinomycetes bacterium. Its description in RNAcentral is "bacterial SSU rRNA". It matches the Rfam family "Bacterial small subunit ribosomal RNA", at positions 355 to 845 of the family's 1533-position model. The record is from RNAcentral. Lineage: Bacteria; Bacillati; Actinomycetota; Actinomycetes.
UGGGGAAUAUUGGACAAUGGGCGAAAGCCUGAUCCAGCAACGCCGCGUGAGGGAUGACGGCCUUCGGGUUGUAAACCUCUUUCAGCAGGGACGAAGCGCAAGUGACGGUACCUGCAGAAGAAGCACCGGCCAACUACGUGCCAGCAGCCGCGGUAAUACGUAGGGUGCGAGCGUUGUCCGGAAUUAUUGGGCGUAAAGGGCUCGUAGGCGGUUUGUCACGUCGGGAGUGAAAACUCGGGGCUUAACCCCGAGCCUGCUUCCGAUACGGGCUGACUAGAGGUAUGCAGGGGAGAACGGAAUUCCUGGUGUAGCGGUGAAAUGCGCAGAUAUCAGGAGGAACACCGGUGGCGAAGGCGGUUCUCUGGGCAUUACCUGACGCUGAGGAGCGAAAGUGUGGGGAGCGAACAGGAUUAGACUACCCUGGUAGUCCAACACCGUAAACGUUGGGCGCUAGGUGUGGGACUCAUUCCACG